GAACGUAGAAGAUCUAAUCGUUAUAAUAUAUUAGUAUUUAAUUAAAGAUAAUGUUACAUAUAUUAUAUCAUUAAUGUCGAUUAGGGGUGAAACGCUUCCAAUUCUUACAUAUCUGGAUUUAUAUUAAAUAUAUUAAGUAUAGGGUUAGUUUCUCAAAUUUGAAAUUUUAAGAUUUCAAAUAGCUGGUUAAAUUUUUUUAUAAUAAAAUAUAUAAGUGCUAAUCCUCUUAUAGAUAAAUAUAUUAUAAUUAAUAUGUAAUUAUUUAAUAGGUGUAAUAUAAUGGUUUUUAAAAUUUAAUAAGAAGUUAAUAAUGUUUAGAUCAGUAAUUUCUAAUAAAUUAUUAAAAGGAACUCGGCAAAUUACUUUUUCGUCUGUUUAUCAAAAACAUAGCUUAAUGAGAAUAUUAUUUUAAGUGAUUUCUGCCCAGUGAAUUAUUAAACGGCCGCAGUACCUUGACUGUGCUAAGGUAGCAUAAUAAAUUGGCUUUUAAUUGGAGUCUAGAAUCAACGGAAUGUCGGAAAAUUACUGUCUCUUUAUAAUUAAUUCUAAGUUAAUAAUAAGGUGAAAAUGCCUUAGAUAAAUUUUAUAGACAAGAAGACCCUAAGAAUUUUUAUAAUAUAGGUUAAUAAUAACUUAAUAAUUUUUGUUGGGGCGACAGGAUUACAGAUAACUAAUCUUAUAAAUUAUAAACUAGACAGUUUUUAAAUAGUUAGAUAAAAUUACCUUAGGGAUAACAGCAUAAUAUAGUUUUGUUUGUGACCUCGAUGUUGGAUUAGGGAAAUUAAUAGCUAGCAGUUAUUAAAUUUAGUUCUGUUCGAACUGCUUUACCUACAUGAUCUGAGUUCAGACCGGCGUAAGCCAGGUCAG
RNAcentral lists this ribosomal RNA (867 nucleotides) under Afrorhytida kraussi. RNAcentral describes it as "partial 16S ribosomal RNA". Lineage: Eukaryota; Metazoa; Mollusca; Gastropoda; Stylommatophora; Rhytididae. The record is from RNAcentral.